RNAcentral lists this long non-coding RNA (377 nucleotides) under Nicotiana benthamiana. RNAcentral describes it as "long non-coding RNA (NBEN_LNC003279)". Lineage: Eukaryota; Viridiplantae; Streptophyta; Magnoliopsida; Solanales; Solanaceae. The record is from RNAcentral.
AUUCAUUGAGUUUAAUACUCUACCUCUUACUGUGUUAAUGCAUCAAACAAUAUACUUAAGUCUUAUUUUCUCUCACAAUCUAGCAUUCACCCAUGGACUGUCACCAUUAACAAAUUUUCCAUCAUGUAAUCUCGCUAUCAUACUUAUAUACCAAGCACUUGGAUUAUGUAUACUUAUGCCAAAGUCACACGUAUAACAUCACUAGCACGAUAUUACUAAAACUGUCAAACCUCUUUAAGACGCAUGAAGUUGAGUAAAUUGUUUAACUACUUUCCUCCAAAUAUCUUUCACUACCAAGGUCAACAACCUGAACAUGGCUAAUCUAUUACACUUCUUACAUUUUUGCGCAACUCUUUUCUCUCCUACCCAAACUCAUA